AAAAAAUAUCGAGUAUUUUCGGAGUUGCUAAUUUUAAACUUGCGUAUGAUAACCACCCGCUAGUUGCGUGCCCCUAGUUGCGCCUACAGUACUUGCGGUGCUGUACAUUUGACGUAUUCUAUAUUUCGUUUGUUUUUUUUUUUUUUUGAUUUCGUCGUGACUCGUAUAGAUAAAUAAAAACACGAUUUUAACUAACCCUACGUUUU
Non-coding RNA from Cinara cedri, 206 nucleotides. Lineage: Eukaryota; Metazoa; Arthropoda; Insecta; Hemiptera; Aphididae. The record is from the annotation of a GenBank genome assembly.